CGCAACUUGCGCCUUUUGGUAUUCCGAAAGGCAUGCCUGUCUGAGUGUCAUGUAGCCUCAACCCCCCUCGGUUUCUGAUCGAGGGGUGUGUUGGACUUGGGCGUCUGCCGCUAGCCGUGGCUCGCCUGAAAAGUGUCAGUGGGAAGGUUCCCCGUGUCUGGCGUAAUAAGUUUCGCCCGUCCGGUCGAGCCUGCCCGCUCCCAACCCCCAUCUAUUUUGACCUUUGGCCUCAGAUCAGGUAGGACUACCCGCUGAACUUAA
RNAcentral lists this unclassified non-coding RNA (261 nucleotides) under Tremella yokohamensis. RNAcentral describes it as "partial contains 5.8S ribosomal RNA, internal transcribed spacer 2, and large subunit ribosomal RNA". Lineage: Eukaryota; Fungi; Basidiomycota; Tremellomycetes; Tremellales; Tremellaceae. The record is from RNAcentral.